Molecule: long non-coding RNA, 3603 nt
Filed under: Homo sapiens (human)
Lineage: Eukaryota; Metazoa; Chordata; Mammalia; Primates; Hominidae
Description: HSALNT0068959
Source: RNAcentral
GUGAGGAGAAAGGAGUAGGAAGGCACAGAGGACCUAACUGGCAAAAACAAAUAAGUGAGGUAGAUAAAAAGAAUGAAUCUAAUGGCUUCACCUGACUUAGGCACAGUUUUAAGGGGCCUGACUUAGGCCUGGGGACUUAUGUUUUUAGCUGGGCUCUGUUGGCCUUUUUGAUGUGGGAGUGAUUAAGCAGGAAUGCCGUCUACUUUCAGAGCAGUUGGAGUCAUGAAGUCUUUUCUAAGCAGGAGUGAGUCUUUCUUUUUGGAACUUUUAAACAAACACUAGGUCUCCUGGCUGGAACGAAUGGUAGGACUUUGUCAGGUCAGGAAUUGGAUUGGGAUGGGCUCCUCAAACAAGUGGCAGGAUGAUCUCUUGUACCUGUUGGAGAGACUAUAGGUACUGUAAUAAAUUAAUUUGUGAUAUUUCUGCUAAUUUGGCAUCUCUUAGCUUAGACAAGAUAGGCAGCGCCUUCUUAUACAUGAUUUCAAAGGGUGAGAACUUAGCCUGAUAAGGGGUGCACUUUACUUUAAGUAGGGCUAAAGGAAGGAGACUUACUUAAUUUACACUGGUUUUUAAGAUCAAUAUUGUAAGAGUGUUUUUAAUGUGUGGUUCAUGCGUUCUACUUGCCUGGAGCUCUGAGGUUGAUAGGCACAAUGGAGUUUCUAUUGAAUGUUUAACGCCUUACUGACUGACUGAGCUAUAGGUGAGGUGAAGGCUGCUCUAUUAUCAGACUUUAUGGCAGCAGGCAGCCUAUAUUGAGGGAUGAUUUCAUUGAGUAAAAACUUAACUACUGUGUUGGUGGUUUCGUUUUCGGUAGCAAAUGCCUUAGUCGAUCUGGAGAAGGUGUCUACUAGUACUAGAAGGUAUUUGUCCUUAACCUGGUAUGGUUUGACUUCUGUAAAGUCAAUUUCUUACUUUUUUCUUGACGAGUUUUUUCAGAGACAGUGGCCUGGGCUGGGUUUAGGACUUUGUUUGGCUUUUACGUGGGCGCAGGUUGUGCACUUGAGAGCUGCUUAAUCUGUUAGGCUUUGAAGACGGGGGAUCUUAAAAUGGCUCCGGAGGAGCUGAGGUAGCUUUGCUCUUUUUAAGUGGGUGGUAGACUGUAGGUGGCUGAUUAAAGUUUCUUUAAGAGUUCAGGGUGUGAAGAUUCUAGAGUCAGGAAGAAUCUACUAACUUUCCUGAUUUGUAUUGGCUCUGAGAUCUGAAGCCAGUUUUUUUGUUGUUGUUGAGUAUACGGGAUUGUCAGGCAGAUCUGGCUGUGGAAAGGAGACUGUGGGCAGCAAGUUUAGAGGCGUGACUGAAAGUCUUGCUGCGACCUGAGCUGCUGAAUCAGCUUUCUGGUUACUAUGGGCUACGGCCGUGUUUUCUUUUUGAUGUCCUUUGCAGUGGAUCACAGCUAGCUGCUGAGACAGACAAGGGGAGGGGGUCCUGUGAUGGUAUCAGUCAGAUGCCUGUCUGGCCACUCCCGCUGAGGGGACUUGGGCUCCUCUUAGCAUUGGCAGGCCGGUAUAAACUUCCACCUCGGAUCGAGCUGUGCCUGAUGCUGCCUUAAGCCUUAUGAGGUCGCCACGGAACCGCAGGUGAGGGCCCACUUGAACUCCGUAGCUUUCACCGUGUAGCUACAAACUGGAGGACAAGCGCAAGCCCUUGUCCUCCCUCAUUCAUUCAUUAUUCACACAGAGUUUAUAACAGUUUUUUUUUUUCUUUCUUGGAGAUUCUUCAAGAAACUUGAACAAGAGAAAGACUAGAGAUAGGAAAAGAGAGAGAGAGAGUGACUGGCCUGCCAGAAACCAGGACUCAGUCCUCCAGCAUCCUGGGAUGUGGACUGAGUCAAGAGAGGGUCCCUGUCAGGGCCAGUUCCCUCCUAGACAGAGACACAGAGGUGCCUAACAGAAAACCAGAGCUCUACCUUCUAGCGUCCUAAAGAAACGGGCAGAGUCAAAAGAGGGACGCCCUCAUCAGGGCCGCUUCCCUCUUACUAGAACUGAAGUCAGAUCUGACCUACCUGACCUUGGGGUCAGAAGUUGAGGACUCAGAGGUGGAAUUUUUGUGGGCACCCACACAGUAGUCGAUCCGCUCUCCUUUGGAAGAUGGUCACCUUUCGGGGACCUGAAAAUUUUUUUUCAGGUGGCGCCCCCGCUACAAGCCGGCCGUCCUUCCGGGGGAGCCCGCAGCAGGCCCGGAGCUAACCCGGCUCUCGCCUGGUGGCGUUUCUUGCUCGGGCCUCCAAAUGUUGUACUUGAGCGAGUUAGAGAAAAUGCCACACUUUGAGGUGAAUUAAGAGUCUGUUUCUUUAGCCGGCGGCCAAGAGACGGCUAAUGCUUAAAGUUCUCUUGGCCCCGAAGAAGGGGCUAGAUUUUCUUUUAUACUUUAGUUUAGAAAGGGGAAGGGGGUCUAGUUAAAAGAAUUUUACAGAAGUAAAGUAGGCAAAAAAGUUAAAAGGAUAAAUUAUUACAGGAAAGUAAACAGUUCUAGGUCUAAGGGGUUUAAGACUAUUACAAAGUGAUAGAUGCGGGGCUUUAGGCAUUAUCAAUCGGACGAAUUCCUGGGAACUGCGGAUAUUGCUCGCCACAGUAUCUUAUCAGUUAAUUGCAUUCUUAGAUGUGCUAAGAGUCAGCUUGCACAGGUUAAGUCCUUGAGGGAAGGGGCUGCCGGUGAAAGAGCCAAGAUAAAGUCUGUCUAGCUCUCUUAGCUAAAAGACAGUCAAUUCAGGUAGAAACAAGGCUAAGUGAUUAAAAGAAAAGGAAAGUCUAAGAACAAAGUUAAUAAAAACAAAGUUAGGCAUUACAGAUGGGGUCAUCCUUAUAUUCAGCACAGUGUUUGUCCUGAAACUUCAAUGGAGUGCUCCUAGUUUGAUAACUUGGGCCAUGCCAGAUGCUUUGAAUUUCUCUUUCUUAACAACAGAUGUUUGAAUACAGCCCCGUGUCCCUCUCUGCUCCUUCCUGCCUUCCUCCUCUCCUCUUCCCUCCCUUCCUUUUCAAGAGCAGGGUUUGCAAACUUUUUCUUGAAAGCAUCAGAUAGUAAAUAUUUUAGAAUUCAUGGGCCAUACAGUCUCCUGUAGUAGUUACUCAACUCUGCCACCCAUAGCAUGAAAGCAGCUGAUAUAGGUUGAUUAUGUGUCCCCACCCAAAUCUCAUGUUACAAUGUAAUCAACAGUGUUAGAGGUGGGGCCUGGUGGGAAGAGAUUGGAUCAUGGGGGUGCAUUUCUCAUGAAUGAUUUAGCAUCAUGCUUUUGGUCCUGUCCUUGCAAUGGUGAGUGAGUUCUUGCAAGAUCUGGUUGUUUAUGAGUGUGUAACACCUCCCUCCUCACUCUCUUGCUCCCACUUCAACUUCGGCCAUGAUUGUAAGUUUCCUGAGGCCUCCACAGAAGCUCAGCAGAUGUCAUUGUCAUGUUCCCUGAACAGCCUACACAACUGUGAGCCAAGUAAACCCAGUGUCAGGUAUUUCUUUAUAGCAUGAGAGAACAGCCUAAUCCAGCAAUCAUAGACAAUAUGUAGCAAAUGGGCAUGGCUGUGUUUCGAUAAAACUUUAUUGAGAAAAACAUGUGCAGGCAGGUCAGAUUUGGCCCAUGGGCCAUAGUGUCCCAACCCCUGCUCUGGAAUAUUC